CGGAGCCUGUGCUCCGCAACGGGAGAGGCCACGACAGUGAGAGAAGAUUAGCAUGGCCCCUGCGCAAGGAUGACACGCAAAUGCGUGUAGCAUUCCAUGUUUUU
This 104-nucleotide small nuclear RNA is filed under the name Phocoena sinus (vaquita). Lineage: Eukaryota; Metazoa; Chordata; Mammalia; Artiodactyla; Phocoenidae. The record is from RNAcentral.